This 800-nucleotide ribosomal RNA is filed under the name uncultured bacterium. Its description in RNAcentral is "bacterial SSU rRNA". It matches the Rfam family "Bacterial small subunit ribosomal RNA", at positions 8 to 796 of the family's 1533-position model. The record is from RNAcentral.
AGAGUUUGAUCAUGGCUCAGAACGAACGUUAGCGGCACGCUUAACACAUGCAAGUCGAGCGCGAAGUCUUCGGACUUUGAGCGGCGCACGGGUGAGGAACACGUAGAUAAUCUACCCUCGAGUGGUGGAUAACGUUUCGAAAGGAACGCUAAUACAGCAUAACACUACGAGCCCUCGGGUUUGUAGCCAAAGCGGGGGGAUCUUCGGACCUCGCGCUUGAGGAUGAGUCUGCGGCCCAUCAGCUAGUUGGUAGUGUAAUAGACUACCAAGGCAAAGACGGGUAGCUGGUCUGAGAGGAUGAACAGCCACACUGGAACUGAGACACGGUCCAGACUCCUACGGGAGGCAGCAGUGGGGAAUCUUGCGCAAUGGGCGAAAGCCUGACGCAGCGAUGCCGCGUGAGCGAUGAAGGCCUUCGGGUUGUAAAGCUCUGUGGAUGGAGACGAAUAAGUGGUAGUUAACACCUGCCAUGAUGACGGUAUCCAUUUAGCAAGCACCGGCUAACUCUGUGCCAGCAGCCGCGGUAAGACAGAGGGUGCAAACGUUGUUCGGAAUUACUGGGCGUAAAGCGCGUGUAGGCGGCUUUGUAAGUCGGAUGUGAAAUCCCGCGGCUCAACCGUGGAAGUGCACCCGAAACUACAUCGCUAGAGUAUCGGAGAGGAAAGUGGAAUGCUUGGUGUAGAGGUGAAAUUCGUAGAUAUCAAGCGGAACACCGGUGGCGAAGGCGGCUUUCUGGACGAUUACUGACGCUGAGACGCGAAAGCGUGGGUAGCAAACAGGAUUAGAUACCCUAGUAGUCC